This 858-nucleotide ribosomal RNA is filed under the name Bacillus cereus. RNAcentral's name for it is "bacterial SSU rRNA". It matches the Rfam family "Bacterial small subunit ribosomal RNA", at positions 36 to 873 of the family's 1533-position model. The record is from RNAcentral. Lineage: Bacteria; Bacillati; Bacillota; Bacilli; Caryophanales; Bacillaceae.
CUUCGGCAUCUAUAAUGCAGUCGAGCGAUGGAUUAAGAGCUUGCUCUUAUGAAGUUAGCGGCGGACGGGUGAGUAACACGUGGGUAACCUGCCCAUAAGACUGGGAUAACUCCGGGAAACCGGGGCUAAUACCGGAUAACAUUUUGAACCGCAUGGUUCGAAAUUGAAAGGCGGCUUCGGCUGUCACUUAUGGAUGGACCCGCGUCGCAUUAGCUAGUUGGUGAGGUAACGGCUCACCAAGGCAACGAUGCGUAGCCGACCUGAGAGGGUGAUCGGCCACACUGGGACUGAGACACGGCCCAGACUCCUACGGGAGGCAGCAGUAGGGAAUCUUCCGCAAUGGACGAAAGUCUGACGGAGCAACGCCGCGUGAGUGAUGAAGGCUUUCGGGUCGUAAAACUCUGUUGUUAGGGAAGAACAAGUGCUAGUUGAAUAAGCUGGCACCUUGACGGUACCUAACCAGAAAGCCACGGCUAACUACGUGCCAGCAGCCGCGGUAAUACGUAGGUGGCAAGCGUUAUCCGGAAUUAUUGGGCGUAAAGCGCGCGCAGGUGGUUUCUUAAGUCUGAUGUGAAAGCCCACGGCUCAACCGUGGAGGGUCAUUGGAAACUGGGAGACUUGAGUGCAGAAGAGGAAAGUGGAAUUCCAUGUGUAGCGGUGAAAUGCGUAGAGAUAUGGAGGAACACCAGUGGCGAAAGCGACUUUCUGGUCUGUAACUGACACUGAGGCGCGAAAGCGUGGGGAGCAAACAGGGAUUAGAUACCCUGGGUAGUCCACGCCGUAAACGAUGAGUGCUAAGUGUUAGAGGGUUUCCGCCCUUUAGUGCUGAAGUAACGCAUAAGCAUCCGCUGAUUCCAC